ACUAUUCACUAUCGUAAUUUUAUUAAGAGCUUGUUGUAUAAAAUUCAAUAAGAAAUAUUACAAUGUUACUAUCGUAAAUAGUAAAAGAAUAAAAAAUGAGAUUUAAUUAUAAUAUUUAUUCUUUUAUUCUUCCUCUUAAUUUACCGUGCUGCCUCUAUGUUUUUACAAUACAAGUCACAAAAAUUACGAUAGUUGAAUUGUAAAUUUUUUGACAUGGUAUAGUAUAUGCCAUCUGAAGCGUUUCCGUAUGAAAGACAAAUGUCACAAUACCAUGAUGUGAUGCUUGUUUCAUCUUUAUCCACAGUGUAGUGCAGAAAUAGAGGUUAUUUUUCAUGACGUUUUUCGGACAAUUGUAAAUAAGAAAUUUAAAAAAAAAACUGUGCUUUCUUCAUUACAAACCUACAUAGAUUCUGGAAUAUAAUAAUUUGGUGGUGAUAUUCUUCAUUUGUCGACAAUAACCUCAAAUUAUGGAUAUUUAAAGUUUCUUUAUGGAUACUGAAGUUAGCAGACGCCUAAUAAUUUUUGGAUUUUUUUAAAAAUGAUAAAUUAUAGAAAAAAAGUAUUCGAAAAAAUUGCACCUAUGGUUUUUUUUAAUUUUCUACAUGUGCGUAUUUUGAAUACAAAGAAAUGAGUUAUUUAUUCAAAAGAAAAAAAUUAUAAUACUUUUGG
Molecule: long non-coding RNA, 669 nt
Organism: Microplitis mediator
Lineage: Eukaryota; Metazoa; Arthropoda; Insecta; Hymenoptera; Braconidae
Exons: 3
Source: RefSeq, a predicted model, not a curated record